This 404-nucleotide unclassified non-coding RNA is filed under the name Hevea brasiliensis (rubber tree). Lineage: Eukaryota; Viridiplantae; Streptophyta; Magnoliopsida; Malpighiales; Euphorbiaceae. The record is from RNAcentral.
AAAAAUUAUUUUCCAGCUUUUUUGCACUUUAAUAAUGUUCUGGGGUUAUUUCAUUGCUUUUUGAGCAAUCAUUUAAUCCUUGAUGUGUCUUUGCUGUGAUGCCAGUACUUUUGACGCUACUUUCAUUUUACUUGGAAGUCUGGAAUGUGUUCUUCAACAUCAUUGCUUUAGGGCGGUCAGUCACAUGGAAAUACUUGUCUGCAUAUCCAUGCAGAAUGAUAGUGAUUUUUAAUAUUCUUUUUAACUACUUUGGAUCUUGGAGCUGGGCAAAGUAGUUGUUAACAAAGAUCAUCCAUAUUUUCAUGAUUAAUCCAAGCAUGAGGGAAGAGAUGGUGUAAGGAAAAAGCUCUAUGCUGCUGAAAUUUGUACUUUCAAUUGAUUCAAUUACUUUCAGGAAGCUGGCA